Molecule: ribosomal RNA, 254 nt
Filed under: uncultured bacterium
Lineage: Bacteria
Description: partial 16S ribosomal RNA
Rfam family: Bacterial small subunit ribosomal RNA
Source: RNAcentral
UACGUAGGGUGCAAGCGUUAAUCGGAAUUACUGGGCGUAAAGCGUGCGCAGGCGGUUGUGCAAGACAGAUGUGAAAUCCCCGGGCUCAACCUGGGAACUGCAUUUGUGACUGCACGGCUAGAGUGUGUCAGAGGGGGGUAGAAUUCCACGUGUAGCAGUGAAAUGCGUAGAGAUGUGGAGGAAUACCGAUGGCGAAGGCAGCCCCCCUGGGAUAACACUGACGCUCAUGCACGAAAGCGUGGGGAGCAAACAGG